Molecule: unclassified non-coding RNA, 329 nt
Filed under: soil metagenome
Description: partial contains 5.8S ribosomal RNA, internal transcribed spacer 2, and large subunit ribosomal RNA
Rfam family: 5.8S ribosomal RNA (bases 1-120)
Source: RNAcentral
GAUGAAGAACGUAGCGAAAUGCGAUAAGUAGUGUGAAUUGCAGAAUUCAGUGAAUCAUGGAAUCUUUGAACGCACAUUGCGCCCCUUGGUAUCCCGAGGGGCAUGCCUGUUCGAGCGUCAUUUCACCACUCAAGCCUGGCUUGGUGUUGGGCGACGUCCUCUUUGGGGACGCGCCUCGAAACGCUCGGCGGCGUGGCACCGGCUUUAAGCGUAGCAGAAUCUUUCGCUUUGGAAGUCGGGGCCCCGUCUGCCGGAAGACCUGCUCGCAAGGUUGACCUCGGAUCAGGCAGGGAUACCCGCUGAACUUAAGCAUAUCAAUAAGCGGAGGA